UAGGGAAUCUUCGGCAAUGGACGAAAGUCUGACCGAGCAACGCCGCGUGAGUGAAGAAGGUUUUCGGAUCGUAAAACUCUGUUGGUAGAGAAGAACGUUGGUGAGAGUGGAAAGCUCAUCAAGUGACGGUAACUACCCAGAAAGGGACGGCUAACUACGUGCCAGCAGCCGCGGUAAUACGUAGGUCCCGAGCGUUGUCCGGAUUUAUUGGGCGUAAAGCGAGCGCAGGUGGUUUAUUAAGUCUGGUGUAAAAGGCAGUGGCUCAACCAUUGUAUGCAUUGGAA
RNAcentral lists this ribosomal RNA (284 nucleotides) under uncultured bacterium. Its description in RNAcentral is "partial 16S ribosomal RNA". It matches the Rfam family "Bacterial small subunit ribosomal RNA", at positions 355 to 631 of the family's 1533-position model. The record is from RNAcentral.